Long non-coding RNA from Grus americana (Whooping crane), 8064 nucleotides. RefSeq lists it as uncharacterized. The record is from RefSeq and is a predicted model, not a curated record. Lineage: Eukaryota; Metazoa; Chordata; Aves; Gruiformes; Gruidae. The transcript is spliced from 9 exons.
UUCCUGGAGAAGGGACCUGAGUGUCCCACUUGGCCCCUGACCUGGAGAAGACCUGGCAGAGCAGAUCUGCAUGCCGUGGGUGUUUUGUGCUCCCAUGAACUUCCCCAGCAUGUGGUCAAGCCAAUUCAAUGACCGUUGUUCCUGGACAUGGACUGGAAGACAGGCAGAGACAUCUCUUGGGCUAGCUGGGGCCUUCAGCAGGGAGGAGGGCUGUAGCUCUCCCAAGUGCCUGUUUGUUCCUCAGCUUUCUUUUUCUCAAGGGCUUCAGGAAGCUGCAGAGGUUCAGAAGAUGGGUUUUUCCCCUUUCUUGAAAGCGCAGCUAAAAAUAGAGUAUUGAAACCAAGCCCAGCCCAUGAAGCAGAGUGUGUAGGUGUGAUGCUAACCAACACCCGGGGCUGUGAAGUGUCCUGAGGGGCUGGCACCCACCUCGUAUACAUGUUCUCUCUUUCUCCUCAUUCUUUCUUUGGCACUUUUUCAAAGAGCACAUGAGAUGAUGAAUCUAAAGUCAUUUUGUUUGAAAAUUGCCCUACGCAUGUUGUCCCAGGUAUAAGGAGAAGAGGACGAGGAGAGGAAAAUUGUUUUCAUUUGCAAAAUCUGUCGGGACCCCUGAGCUGCUACUGCUCUCUGCUUUUAUUUCCUGGCUGAAGGUUUCUAGAGGUGGCUGGUAGAAAAUGGUGAUUGCAGAUACUGCUUUGUGGUGGCAGACCAGGAUGUCUCUGAGGUUUUGCCCUUGGCAGAUGCAAAUAGGCCAGCAAAAAACAUGCAAUGCACAGGGGUGAGUUCUUGGACAGCCCUGGAUGGCAAAGGGGGAAGGUUUAAUGGAAGGGAGCUCCUCCUAGUGUCAUGAAACUGUGGAACCUCAGCUCAAGACCUGAAAGGAAGGCUGCCAUGGCAGUUGACUCAUUAAUUACAGGUUCUUCAAAGCUGCACAGUGUGGACAUGCCAGCCCCACAGUGCACCCCUCACUCACACCCUCCCAGCCUGUGUGUGGGUAGGUCUUGUGGGUGUGAUGGGGAGACAUAGGUCUCCCCUGAAGAUGUGGGAUUUGUAGGGCCUUUGCGUAGUGAGAAAAGUCAUAAAAUACAUGCGUGACGCUACCAUAGUCCCCCCAGAAGACCCAUGCCUCCACCCUGCCAUAGUAAAGGGGCUUGGGGCAGAGCAGGCAUUUAGAUGUUAAUCCUUACACAGCCUGAGGGCUGCAGCCACCAUGGAUGAAGGGCUGUGGUGGAGAAACAUGGGCUUAGUGUCAUCUGUAACGCAGUGCAGAUUGGUGUUUGGUACAAAGAGAAUUUGCCAUUGUUGGGUUUGGUGAAUUGCUUGGUGAUACCGUGACCUUGGAGCUGCUCAUAUCAUCCCUUUGCAUCGCCAGGAGGGGCUGUUUGCAGCCUUGGGGAGGGAGAGUUACCCUGUAAUGCAAGAAAGCCCGGGGUUUGAUGCAUAAAGGUGGCACAGGUGGGACAGUGCAUGUCCAAGAUGAGUUUUAUGAGCUGCGUUGGUCUGCAAUAGCCUACGCAGGGAAGGCUGCAAAAAUCCACGUGGGAACAAAAUGGGCUGUACUUCCAGUGGCAACUUCUCAGAGAUGGGCUUUCGGGGAGAGUCCAACUGGUGCUGCCCGACACCAGUGAAAGACCUAGACCCCGCAUUAGCCUCCCCUCCCACCAUCCACCACCCCUGCCGCCGUAAACACAUGGCUGGAGGCGGUUUAUUCCCUGUCAGCCCUUUCCUGCUUAUCUGGAGCCAGUGGCAAGAGCAGGAGCCGCUCUCGCAGAGUGACCCUGCAAAUCCUCGGAUGAAUGCCCGGACCAAGCGUCAUUUCCCAGGGGGAUCGGGGUGGAUUGGCUAAUUAAUCACAGCUUGUCUGGGGGAGGAUGAGGAAGUCUGAAUAAAGGUGUUAACGGCUCUUAAAGGCUUUCCUGGUUUGCAGAGGGUUCUGCCUCAAACAGAUUAUCUGGAAAUAUUAGCUGGAGUGGGAAAGGGUUUUUUCCCUUCUCUGUGCUCUUUGCAGUCACCCUAAAUCUGCUUGAGCUGUGGAGACAGGUUUUAUUGGGGGGGGAGAGGUGUUGGCUGUCAGUGGGUCAGCAAUUAAUUGGUUUAUUCCUUUCUCACGGUUAUUUUCUAACCAACAUCUGCUAAAACCCCGGUGCCCACUUUGUCCCAGCUCAGCAAACAAGAACCACAGGGAUUUGUGUUGGGGGGGACCCCAGGCCACAAGGUUGGCUUUGCAGGGGCUGUCGGGAGGUCCUUUGUCCCCUGCCAAGCCUCUUUCCUUGUUGUCUCGUCUUAGGAGGUGGAUGUGAUUAGCGUUUUCUGCCAUGAGAUGUCAGCUGAGCGAUGAGAACUGUGUGCCAAGAGGAGGACAGAGCUGCCACGGAUGGAUGAAGACCGUCCCUUUCAAACGCGAAGCGCAGCAAGCCCAAACCGGAUCCCUGUACUCCGUGGGGAUCGGCCUGCAGGGAUGACGAGAGAAACGGAGUGAGUCUCCAGCCCUGUCCAGAGCUAAACUGCAAAACCACAAGCUUCACCAAAGCCCUUCGAGCCAGCCUGUCUCCCAGCAGAGUCUCUGUCCCUCUCAAUUCAGGGCUGGAAAUAUUGACAGGAUAUUCUCCGCAGCCCACCUGGCAUCCGGUGGAGGCAAAGAAACAAAUGCCCAGGGCUGAGGCUGGAGCUGGCCCCACAAGGGAGAAUCCAGCUCCAAGCACUCCAAGGAAGCAAACAGACCCUUUAAAGACAUUUAUUGCUGAAGAAAGCAGGGAGAGAUUCAGCAUGAAGCCACAAAACCAAUUUUGAGGAAGAAAUGCAGCUUGCCUCCUGUCCCCCGUCCCUGAGAACCGAAGGGGAGAGACCGUCCAUCACUGCCCAUCGCUUCGGGUCAGCAUCCCGGGCAGCGGCAGCUCAACGGUCUCUUUGAGCGCAGUUCUGUUUAGGUUGGCUGCUGCUGAUCCCAGCCCCUCUUCAGCACAUGUGGAUGCUUUUAACCCCUCGGAGGUGGGGAGUGCCAGCCCACUGCACGCUCCGCAGCUGACGAGGACACUGCCGCGAUUCAUUCAUGUCCCUGCUCAGGGCACAGAUUGUAAACACGGUAGGGAAGCCAGGCCACGUCCCAGCCCAGCUUGGCUGCCUGCCUCGAGGUCCCCAUCGCCCAGAAUUUGGAGCUCACCUCUUUUUCCAUUACCUCCAAGCAGUAAUAGCGAAUGUUUCCAUAACGUUUCCUAAAAAUAAAAACGUCAACAGAAAUAGCCGUUUAAUAACACAAGUCUGUGCAUCUCUGGGCUCUGAGCAAUCUACAGGCUGGGAGGAGAAAUGCUGAAAUAGCUCAGGAGUUUGAAGAUACUCUGAGAAGCUCUCUUACUGAACAUGGACCAGCUCUCACCAGCAUCACCUGGGGCAGGAGGGCUGUUCGAGGGCUGUUUUCCCUCCCUCCCUAGGCGAAUAGCCAACCCCUCUCCAAAAACAGCCCAUCCAUCUGAUACCCUGUUCGACAGAAAAGCCUGUAUCAACAAUGCGAGUUGUGUGACCGUGCUGAGAUGCCAGUAGUGUGGCAGCACGUGGACUGGUUACCGUUCUGUCUCUUAAGCAGGGUGUUAAUUUUCUGUUACGGCUUUCACAGGGGAAGAAAUCAAAGGAUAUAGACGCCCUAUACAGGGAAGGGCUUUGCUAUGCAGGAAUGCAUCAACCUGGUACAGUUCAUAAUAGCCAUAAAUAUCAGAGAGCUGCUUUUGAUGAAAAACCGAGGAGCUGUCUUGACAGCAGCACUAUGCAGCAGCACAGGAGAGAAAUCAGAGAGCAAGUACUUUGUGCAGCCUUUUGGGGAAUGGGUGGUUGAGCUGGGAUGUAAAGAUAACAAAAUUAACUCCUACUUGCAGUUCAGGCAAUGUUAAACCCCUGCAAUUCAAGUUUUGGGGGAAUGACCCUACUUGGCAUCCUUGCUUGCCUUCCUCGAGCCCUAAUCUGUCCCCAUCAAAAUCCCUGGCUGGAUCCUUUAUAGGAACCAGCGGUGGGGACAGGAGCUUCUCCCCACUCGCUGAGGAUGGAUGGUGGAUGCUCUGGUGGUUAAAGCGCUAGUACAGGCUGCAUUAACCCGUCUUCUGUGCCCGAUCUGUAAGUUGGCAGGUCUGAUGGGUGUGCUGCAUGGUUAAAGCGACCAGUGCUCAGUACGGGAACAGGGCAUCCGAGGACAUCAGGAGGACAGUGAAAGCCUUGUCAUACAGCCUAAAGUCUCACAGCAAGUGUCUAUUAAUAAGCCAUGCCUACGCUUCCUCCAGGUGUUUACAGUGCGCUUUCUCCCUGUUAGCUUUGAAAACCACAGCUCCGUUUUGACAUAGCAAGUCCUUUUCUUUUAGUGAUGCAUUCAGUACCGCAAGUGCGUUUGGCUGGGGAAGCGUGUUGGUAAAAACCAACCUCGUUUUGAAAAGCCAGCAGGAUUUCCCUGUAAAAAUGAUCUCUGUCUCCAGAUGAACAGUUUCAGCCUGUCCUCUGGGAGUCUCUCUGCUCUGGAGAUGGUGGCUGGCUGGCUUUAAUGCUGGCUGCAGAUGGGUGCCACCAAACCCAUGCAACAUACAGUGGUGACAGCAUCAGCCCAGUCGGCAAGGUCACCUCCCCCUGUGCGGGCUGUCCUGGGGAACGGGGGCAGGUGGGGAUUCCUGGGUGCUUGGAAAGGGACCUUUGGAGGCUGCCAGCCUGCGGGGAUCCCCCCAAAAACCCUGAAAAGUGGCUGGUUCCUUACCCUUGCCCAGGGAAGAGCCCCUUGUGCCAUGCUGAUGCUUUGGCAGAGUCGAAACUGGCAUAGCUGCCAAACGGGGCCAGCUGACAACUGGAUGAGCCCGGCUUGUGAGUCAGGUUGGGCUGGGAAUGUAAGGAAAAAAAGCAUUUUCAGCCCAGGGAAACAAUGGGAAAUGAACUGGAAACUGGGACCUCUGAGCUCCUCCACCCUUCCCCAAGGGGAGUGCUGGGGUGCAGAAGGCAGUUCCCAAAAUCCAACAUCUGUUGUAACUCAGCUGUACCCUCUGAGAAACGUCUUUUUGUCAUUAGACGUGCAGCUACUGCUGGAGUGACUCCCUUCUCCUUAGCUGGAGCUGGAGACAAAGGAAAGAAUUGUUGGUAAUGAGCUAUUUAUGGAGAAAUUCAUCUUGAUAUUUGCAUCACUAAUACAAGGCAAGGCAGUGCCGUGACUCUCCUACCGUGGUUAAGGACGGCACUCGGAGGAGGUUGGGAGCCUCGAGGUCCCGCAAUUGUUUAAUGCCCGAUGUGAGCCCAGUCGAGAAACAGGAGGAGACACAGCAAAGAGACAGAGCAACGCAGUUCUCGGGGUUUGUGCGUAGCGAGCUGCAGUGCGCAGGAGACUGCUUCCAGGCUGGCACCCAGUCGAGGCAGCCGAAAUCAGCUCGCUGCCCGGACGCGAUCGCCUUGUCGAAGCAGCAGCAGCACAGAUAGACCGCCAGGAACUGUUUCCCCAGCCUCCUAAUAGGCAGUGAGUGCUUGUUUAAAAUAAAGCCUGACAAAUGGCAUGUUGGGGGCGUCAAGUCCUGGAGCACUGUCUUCCGAAAAGUAUGAAAAGGCACCAGAGGGGAGCCUGGCACAGCCUCCCUGAUGACAGUAAUUAAAGGCUUCUGCACUCAGGGCUGGGAGCUGCUCCUCUUGCAAAUUGGCCUUGAUUGAAGAGGAAGAGAAUGAUUAGGCUGAAAGGGAGUGAUGGGCGUGGCAGGCAAAAACACAGAGACCUAUGAGCACCAAAGACAUCCCGGCUGGGGUCCUCCGUGGAGCAGUUUGUCUUGAAGUACUUGGGGAAGUCACCGCGGCAGGAUGCUACCUCCAAACCCAGCCAGCUGCUUCACAGGGCAGGGCCAAGGAACGGGUCCAAAACUCAACCGAGAGCCUCUGGCCCCCAAGUCCGGAGCAGUAACAGUCAGGAAUCCCAAAUAAACCCGCCACAGGCGAUGACAUUUUUUGGUGAGGCACUGCCAAACCCCACCGGUCGUCCGUGCACAAAAGGGGUCGGGUCAUCCCUCGCACAGCCCUGCAACUGCAGCCUUGCUUGCUGCAGGGUUUCUGCUGAACACGGCCGGGUUUUGUCCUGCAAGAGGAGCUGCCUGGGUUUUGCAGUCCAGAUACUCAGGUAACUGGGUGCCCGAGUGGAUUGUUUGAGUCCAGGAUGACUUGGGAGACACGUGGAAGCCAACGUCCACCUGCCAUCUGUGUACAGGGUCCAUGCGCUUCGAGGCAGUAACGUCUCAGGUCCAGACAGGCAGAGGCAUCCUGGCAGGCUACUUGACAUCUCCAUCAGAUGGCAAGAUAGUGGAAGUCUCCAGAGACUCUUCCUACACGAGCCGCAGACUCCGAACUCUGAAUCCCCAUUCACAGACUCUGAGCUCCUGAGGUUCAUUUUACCACUUCAAUAAUAGGGAAAAUUAUGCGAAUUGGUGGCAGAAGCAAGUUAUAUGGUGAGCGGAGAGAAAUACAGCUCCAGAGCCAGGUUAUUGCUUCAGACAAGGCUGCAGCAGGCGACGGCGCCCGGCUCUCCCAGCAGAGAUGGCUGCAGUGAAAUAACCCAGGAGGUCCUGGUUAAAAUUAAUUGAGUUAAUUAAUUGAGCAGCUGUGGGAUGGCUAUUUUCCCUGCGUGCCCUGGCUCUUAGUCUUCCUCUCCAAGGGGAGAAAGUGUCGUUGAACCCAUUUAUUGGCAAUGCUGGCUCUCUGAAGCAGAGGUUGUCACCCUCAGUGUCCCAUCACCUCUGAGAUGCUCACUGCAGGUGCCUGAGCCUCAGCUGGGACUCAGAACUUUUAGACCUUGUGGCAACGUUUUCUAGAUGUAGAGAACUGCGAGAAGGAAAUAUUCCGGAGAGUUUCUAUGUUAGUGUCCGCAGAGGGAUGGCGUUGCCUCCCCUCCACCCGCUGAGAGCCCGGGAUGGGGAUGUGGUGCUGGGUGGCACCUGCGAGGGGCGGGUGGGCUGGGUGUGCGGUGUGCUUCAGACUCCUCAAAAAUGAUGUCAGCCCAGAUCUUCACUUUCCUUUUGUUGUGUGCAGCAGGUCAAGUCCUGCUCUGGAACUCAUUGGGUUGUGCGUAGCUGAUAGAAAUGCUGCUCCUGGCCCAUGGAAGGGCUUUUGGGCUGGGGUAUGGGGUUUUUUUUUCUUUUUUUUUUUGCAGCCAACCCAUUCAGGAAUGAAUAAGCUUUUCUUUUCUUAGCCAUCACUUUUUGCAGCAUGUGUCAAGCUAACAAUGGCUGGGUAUUCCUCUGAGGCUGUAAAAUAAGCUCAUUCAUCCUUUCUUUCUAUUUGUUGUAAGCAGAACAAAACAAACAAACAAACAAAAAAAAAAACCAAAAGAAAAAAAAGAAAAAAAAGAAAAACCUACUGAGCUACUCUUUGCUUUCUGGAUGGAGCCUGUGGUAUGGCACCAGCCAAGCACUGCUCUGGGUCAAACACAAAGGUGAUGUGCCAUUUGUGUUCGCCCAGCUGCAUGGAUACAGAGUGAGGGAGAAGGCAGGAAUGUCAGUGGGAGCCUCUCGCGGGCUCCUCCUCGCCAAGAGGAGCCUCCCUCCCGCCAGCUUUGCCGGAGCUCUCUAAUUUCCAGCAGGAUCACGUUAACCACGGACCAUGCAGGAGCAGGGCUGGGGUUUCAGUCCAUGGCCACCUUCCCGUUGAGUCAGGGCUGAAUCACAACCCUGUGCCAAGCGCAAUGGGCCACGGUGCUGCUGGAGAUGCUGUUGGGGUGGUGGUGGUGGGAGCUCAACCUGCAUCAGUGGUGGGGAUGGAUGGGGGAUGCUGUCACUUGGCAUGUGGCGGUGGCCUUGAUGUUGCAUGGCAUUGAGAUGCAGUAGAGGCUGGAGGGGGGGAGAUAACAAAAUGACAUCUAUGUCUUUGGAAAGAGAGACAGCAAACGAGUCGCCUGACUCCCUGGGAAAGGGCUUGGUGGAGGAGUUUGGGUUCUACCCCAAAACUCCCUGCCGGUGACAGGAGACUGAUGAGGGAAGAAUCUCAAGCUUGGCUGUGGGACAAGGAUGGCAGCACUGCAAACACCUUUACCUGCCAGGAGCAAAAUGCUAGAGGAUGUAUAUCCAAGCAUUUGGAACA